Molecule: ribosomal RNA, 492 nt
Filed under: uncultured bacterium
Lineage: Bacteria
Description: partial 16S ribosomal RNA
Rfam family: Bacterial small subunit ribosomal RNA
Source: RNAcentral
AGUGAACGCUGGCGGUAGGCCUAACACAUGCAAGUCGAACGGCAGCACAGUAAGAGCUUGCUCUUACGGGUGGCGAGUGGCGGACGGGUGAGGAAUACAUCGGAAUCUACUUUUUCGUGGGGGAUAACGUAGGGAAACUUACGCUAAUACCGCAUACGACCUACGGGUGAAAGCAGGGGAUCUUCGGACCUUGCGCGAUUGAAUGAGCCGAUGUCGGAUUAGCUAGUUGGCGGGGUAAAGGCCCACCAAGGCGACGAUCCGUAGCUGGUCUGAGAGGAUGAUCAGCCACACUGGAACUGAGACACGGUCCAGACUCCUACGGGAGGCAGCAGUGGGGAAUAUUGGCCAAUGGGCGCAAGCCUGAUCCAUCCAUACCGCGUGGGUGAAGAAGGCCUUCGGGUUGUAAAGCCCUUUUGUUGGGAAAGAAAAGCAGCAGGUUAAUACCCCGCUGUUCUGACGGUACCCAAAGAAUAAGCACCGGCUAACUUCGUG